AUUGAACGCUGGCGGCAUGCUUUACACAUGCAAGUCGAACGGUAACAGGCCUUCGGGUGCUGACGAGUGGCGAACGGGUGAGUAAUGCAUCGGAACGUACCCAGUGGUGGUGGAUAACGCAGCGAAAGCUGUGCUAAUACCGCAUGUGAUCUGAGGAUGAAAGCGGGGGACCGCGCAGCAAUGUUUGGCCUUGCGCCUUUGGAGCGGCCGAUGUCGGAUUAGCUAGUUGGGAGGGUAAAGGCCUACCAAGGCGACGAUCCGUUGCUGAUCUGAGAGGACGAACGGCCCAAACGGAACCGAGACACCGGCCAGAAUCCUACGGGAGGCCGCAGUUGGGAAUUUUUGGCAAAGGGCGAAAGCCUGACGCAGCAACGCCGGGUGAGUGAAGAAGGGCUUCGGGUUGUAAAACCCUUUUAGGAGGGAAGAAAACGGGUGCAGGUAACUCCGGACGUCAUGACGGUACCUAGCAAGAAAGCACCGGCUAACUACGUG
Molecule: ribosomal RNA, 492 nt
Filed under: uncultured bacterium
Lineage: Bacteria
Description: partial 16S ribosomal RNA
Rfam family: Bacterial small subunit ribosomal RNA
Source: RNAcentral